CCUCGUCUGCGGCAGCCGCCUGAGAGAGCAGCGCGGCCGUAGCCGGGGGCCGGAGAGCGCUGGUGGGUGCAGGUGGAUGAGUCGUGCAGGGCAACGGAGGAGAGCCCAGGGGAGCGCUGGAAGAAGGUGACAGCCCUGCGAUGCUGCGGUGCCUGCGAGGUGAUGCCGCCGUGCUCGUUGCUGCUUCCUGGUAAGGAAAGGCCUCCUCCGCUCCUGCUGCAGCGUGGUGGUGUGUCGGACACGAUUCCCUGUGUCGGGGUGCAGAAGAUAGCCGACUCCCCAGCUCACCAGAGCUCCCCCUCAGCCUCCCCUGGCCCCACUUGCCCCGUGCUCCUGCCCCCAGCUCCGGCACGAGCGAGCUAGGCUACGUGCCUAGGAAGCCUCAUCUCGUAAGAGCGGUAAG
Phalacrocorax carbo (great cormorant) is the source of this 403-nucleotide non-coding RNA. The record is from RefSeq and is a predicted model, not a curated record. NCBI's taxonomy places the organism in Eukaryota, Metazoa, Chordata, Aves, Suliformes, Phalacrocoracidae.